CAGCAGCCGCGGUAAUACGGAGGGUGCAAGCGUUAUCCGGAUUCACUGGGUUUAAAGGGUGCGUAGGCGGAUCUGUAAGUCAGUGGUGAAAUCUCCAGGCUUAACCUGGAAACUGCCGUUGAUACUAUAGGUCUUGAAUUUUGUGGAGGUUAGCGGAAUAUGUCAUGUAGCGGUGAAAUGCAUAGAUAUGACAUAGAACACCAAUUGCGAAGGCAGCUGGCUACACAACUAUUGACGCUGAGGCACGAAAGCGUGGGGAUCAAACAGGAUUAGAUACCCCCGUAGUCCCGUCUCUUAUACA
This 301-nucleotide ribosomal RNA is filed under the name uncultured bacterium. RNAcentral describes it as "partial 16S ribosomal RNA". It matches the Rfam family "Bacterial small subunit ribosomal RNA", at positions 509 to 808 of the family's 1533-position model. The record is from RNAcentral.